This 403-nucleotide ribosomal RNA is filed under the name uncultured bacterium. RNAcentral's name for it is "partial 16S ribosomal RNA". It matches the Rfam family "Bacterial small subunit ribosomal RNA", at positions 28 to 526 of the family's 1533-position model. The record is from RNAcentral.
GACGAACGCUGGCGGCGUGCCUAAUACAUGCAAGUCGAACGCAGUGGGGACGGGUGAGUAACACGUGGGUAACCUCCCAUCAGAGGGGAUAACACUUGGAAACAGGUGCUAAACCGAUACUGAUGGAUGGACCCGCGGUGCAUUAGCUAGUUGGUGAGGUAACGGCUCACCAAGGCCACGAUGCAUAGCCGGCCUGAGAGGGUGAUCAGGCACACGGGAACUGAGACACGGCCCAGACUCCUACGGGAGGCAGCAGUAGGGAAUCUUCGGCAAUGGACGAAAGUCUGACCGAGCAACGCCGCGUGAGUGAAGAAGGUUUUCGGAUCGUAAAGCUCUGUUGUUAGAGAGGCGGUAUCUACCCAGAAAGCCACGGCUAACUACGUGCCAGCAGCCGCGGUAAUAC